Molecule: ribosomal RNA, 353 nt
Filed under: uncultured bacterium
Lineage: Bacteria
Description: bacterial SSU rRNA
Rfam family: Bacterial small subunit ribosomal RNA
Source: RNAcentral
GGCCCCGCACAAGCGGUGGAGCAUGUGGUUUAAUUCGAUGCAACGCGAAGAACCUUACCAAGCCUUGACAUCCUCGGAACUUUCCAGAAAUGGAUUGGUGCCUUCGGGAACCGAGUGACAGGUGCUGCAUGGCUGUCGUCAGCUCGUGUCGUGAGAUGUUGGGUUAAGUCCCGCAACGAGCGCAACCCUUAUCCUAUGUUGCCAGCAUUUAGUUGGGGACUCGUAGGAGACUGCCGGUGAUAAACCGGAGGAAGGUGAGGACGACGUCAAGUCAUCAUGGCCCUUACGAGUAGGGCUACACACGUGCUACAAUGGGAAGUACAGAGGGACGCCAAAGCGUGAGCUGGAGCUAA